CGGUGUGGGCGCGCGUGUGUGUCGGGUGCGUGUCUGUGUGCGCGCUUGUGCGGGUGUUUGUGUGUGUUUGUGUGUGUGUGUGUGUUUAUGUGUGUGUGGGGUGUGCGUGGCUGAGGCGCCCCCUCCCCUCCCCUCCCCCUACACGUUGAUCUUAUUCGAUCGGCCGGGCCCCGCCGGGCCGAGGUGAGAAGAAGACGCCGCGAAGCCCCCGGGCGCUGUGCGGCAGGGCCGGGCGGGAUGAGUCGAUCAGAUAGGCGAGGCCGCGGCCGCUGAGCGCCCUGCGAUUCUGACCCGC
RNAcentral lists this small nucleolar RNA (295 nucleotides) under Corvus moneduloides (New Caledonian crow). Its description in RNAcentral is "Small Cajal body-specific RNA 2 (ENSCMUG00000012799.2)". It matches the Rfam family "Small Cajal body-specific RNA 2". The record is from RNAcentral. Lineage: Eukaryota; Metazoa; Chordata; Aves; Passeriformes; Corvidae.